RNAcentral lists this ribosomal RNA (497 nucleotides) under uncultured bacterium. RNAcentral describes it as "partial 16S ribosomal RNA". It matches the Rfam family "Bacterial small subunit ribosomal RNA", at positions 28 to 507 of the family's 1533-position model. The record is from RNAcentral.
GACGAACGCUGGCGGCGUGCCUAAUACAUGCAAGUUGAGCGCUGAAGGUUGGUACUUGUACCAACUGGAUGAGCAGCGAACGGGUGAGUAACGCGUGGGGAAUCUGCCUUUGAGCGGGGGACAACAUUUGGAAACGAAUGCUAAUACCGCAUAAAAACUUUAAACACAAGUUUUAAGUUUGAAAGAUGCAAUUGCAUCACUCAAAGAUGAUCCCGCGUUGUAUUAGCUAGUUGGUGAGGUAAAGGCUCACCAAGGCGAUGAUACAUAGCCGACCUGAGAGGGUGAGCGGCCACAUUGGGACUGAGACAAGGCACAAACGCCUGCGGGAGGCAGCAGUAGGGAAUCUUCGGCGAUGGACGAAAGUCUGACCGAGCAACGCGGCGUGAGUGAAGAAGGGUUUCGGAUCGUAAAACUCUGUUGGUAGAGAAGAACGUUGGUGAGAGUGGAAAGCUCAUCAAGUGACGGUAACUACCCAGAAAGGGACGGCUAACUACGUG